This 614-nucleotide ribosomal RNA is filed under the name uncultured Alphaproteobacteria bacterium. Its description in RNAcentral is "bacterial SSU rRNA". It matches the Rfam family "Bacterial small subunit ribosomal RNA", at positions 37 to 700 of the family's 1533-position model. The record is from RNAcentral. Lineage: Bacteria; Pseudomonadati; Pseudomonadota; Alphaproteobacteria.
UGGCGGCAGGCUUACACAUGCAAGUCGAACGCCCCGCAAGGGGAGUGGCAGACGGGUGAGUAACACGUGGGAACGUACCCUUCGGUUCGGAAUAACACAGAGAAAUUUGUGCUAAUACCGGAUACGUCCGAGAGGAGAAAGAUUUAUCGCCGAUGGAUCGGCCCGCGUCUGAUUAGCUAGUUGGUGAGGUAACGGCUCACCAAGGCGACGAUCAGUAGCUGGUCUGAGAGGAUGAUCAGCCACACUGGGACUGAGACACGGCCCAGACUCCUACGGGAGGCAGCAGUGGGGAAUAUUGGACAAUGGGCGAAAGCCUGAUCCAGCCAUGCCGCGUGAGUGAUGAAGGCCCUAGGGUUGUAAAGCUCUUUUACCUGGGAAGAUAAUGACUGUACCAGGAGAAUAAGCCCCGGCUAACUUCGUGCCAGCAGCCGCGGUAAUACGAAGGGGGCUAGCGUUGUUCGGAAUCACUGGGCGUAAAGCGCACGUAGGCGGAUCUUUAAGUCAGGGGUGAAAUCCCGAGGCUCAACCUCGGAACUGCCUUUGAUACUGGAGAUCUUGAGUCCGGAAGAGGUGAGUGGAACUGCGAGUGUAGAGGUGAAAUUCGUAGAUAUUCG